RNAcentral lists this ribosomal RNA (253 nucleotides) under uncultured bacterium. RNAcentral describes it as "partial 16S ribosomal RNA". It matches the Rfam family "Bacterial small subunit ribosomal RNA", at positions 524 to 776 of the family's 1533-position model. The record is from RNAcentral.
UACGGAGGGUGCGAGCGUUGUUCGGAAUCACUGGGCGUAAAGCGCGUGUAGGCGGCCUCCUCAGUCUGAUGUGAAAGCCCUGGGCUUACCCCAGGAAGUGCAUUGGAUACUGGGAGGCUGGAGUACCGAAGAGGAGGGUGGAAUUCCUGGUGUAGCGGUGAAAUGCGUAGAUAUCAGGAGGAACACCGGUGGCGAAGGCGUCCCUCUGGUCGGAUACUGACGCUGAGACGCGAAAGCGUGGGGAGCAAACAGG